Molecule: long non-coding RNA, 268 nt
Filed under: Gallus gallus (chicken)
Lineage: Eukaryota; Metazoa; Chordata; Aves; Galliformes; Phasianidae
Source: RNAcentral
GUUUAUCAAAAACUGAGUGCCAUAUAAACGUGUUCUUCAAACUUUUUAUACCUACUCAGCUUCAGGACAGUAACCUCAAGUGAUAACAUCUGAUGAAACAAAGAUGAUAGCAUUUUACUAGUAAAAACAGUGAAACAGUUGGAACAGUGAGUGGGGCUGUCAAAGAGGGGCGUAGGCUGUCAAAGAGGGGCGUAGGCUGUCAAAGAGGGGCGUAGGCUGUCAAAGAGGGGCGUAGGCUGUCAAAGAGGGGCGUAGGCUGUCAAAGAGG